GCCCUGCAAAGCUACAAGGAACUUAAUUUCAAUGUCUACUCUAUUUGAUUUGCUCUCUUUUUCUAUUAAUUUACAUGUAAAUUAAUAUUUACAAUUUCUCAGAUUUUAUUAUUUAAUUAUUGCUUUGUAAUUUUAAUUACGAUAAAGGACUAUUACAAAUCUCUACAGGUUUUUUUAUUGAAGGCUUAAUUCUAACUUUCAUUAAAGUUUUUGUCAGUUCAAAACUUUCAAAACAAAACAAAUGAUGAAUAUAAUAUUAAAUUUACAAAUAAUAUGCUGGAUAUAAUGUUCAUUUCAUGUUGAAUGAUUAAUUAAUAAAAUUUUUAUACUUUCUAAAUUUUUAUUACUAUUUUAUUACUACAAAUGUUUAUUCAAACAUUGUAAAUGAAUAAAAUGAUAUACAUUGUUUCAUAUUGAUAUAUUGUAUGUUUAAGGGGAAGUGUGGAGACCAUGGGCAGAUUUACUGUGGGGUUAGGGGGGCAUUAAACCCCCAAUAGAAUCUCUCUAACCCCUCUUAUAAAGUGUUCAACCCCACCAAAAUUUCGCUUCACUCCUCCUAUUUAGUGUGUAACCCUAACGCCUAACCCCUGUAAAAAGCUCGCUCAGUCAGUGCUGCUUGUAGCCCGUGUGCAGGCCCAAGGGAGCAGGCUCAAGGGAACUUGAUAGUGGUCCCUAGCUGCUCCCUUGGGCCUGCACGCGGGCUAUGCUGCUUGCAACCCACUAGAAAUUUUUCCACCCCUCCUUUAAAAAAAAUGAAAAUCUGCCCUUGGUAGAGACUAAAAGGAAGGGCUUGAAAUUUUCAGCACUAUCCAGUGGGAUACUAGAAACUUGAGAUCUGAUAGCCAUCCCAAAAACCUAGUAUCCAAACACUGAAACAAGGCAAACUGAGUUUUUAUAAAUUGUAAUGAAUUUUAUAAUAUACUGAAUCUAAGGUAUGGUAUAAAAGGAUCGUAACUGAUAGAGAAACAUCUGUGGAGGAGAGAAAUUUGUACCCAAUUGUUACUGAGUUUGUCAUGUCCAAUAUCUAAAUUUAAAAUCAAAAUUUUGUAUUCCAUG
Molecule: non-coding RNA, 1056 nt
Organism: Paramuricea clavata
Lineage: Eukaryota; Metazoa; Cnidaria; Anthozoa; Malacalcyonacea; Plexauridae
Source: the annotation of a GenBank genome assembly